GCUAAAGUGUGGAAGUGAGAAGGCUGGGGCUGUCAGUGGUGCCAGCAGGAAGAGGUGGCAUGUCUUGUUGUAACAACAAGAGAUGAAAACUCAGUGGCAUUCACUCACUAAGGAGGUCAGGGGAGACCAUAACCUUCCUUGAUGGAGUGCCCAGUGCAGGUGAGAGAGAGCAGAAAGAUGCAUCUAGUCAGCAUCAAAAUGUCAGUGCUGAACAUGCUGCUGUGAACAGCACGUGUAGGAACAGCAUAAUGGAAGAUAAUGGCAAGCAUUAUUUGGAAGGAGAUUAUGUCAUAUG
Vidua chalybeata is the source of this 295-nucleotide long non-coding RNA. RefSeq lists it as uncharacterized. The transcript is spliced from 3 exons. The record is from RefSeq and is a predicted model, not a curated record. Lineage: Eukaryota; Metazoa; Chordata; Aves; Passeriformes; Viduidae.